GCCCGGCUAGCUCAAUCGGUAGAGCGUGAGACUCUUAUAAGGAGUACUCCGGUAUUAUCUCAAGGUUGUGGGUUCGACCCCCACGUCGGGCU
Molecule: non-coding RNA, 92 nt
Organism: Podospora fimiseda
Lineage: Eukaryota; Fungi; Ascomycota; Sordariomycetes; Sordariales; Podosporaceae
Source: the annotation of a GenBank genome assembly